GACGAACGCUGGCGGCGUGCUUAACACAUGCAAGUCGAACGGAAAGGCCCUGCUUUUGUGGGGUUCUCGAGUGGCGAACGGGUGAGUAACACGUGAGUAACCUGCCCUUGACUUUGGGAUAACUUCAGGAAACUGGGGCUAAUACCGGAUAGGAGCUCCUGCUGCAUGGUGGGGGUUGGAAAGUUUCGGCGGUUGGGGAUGGACUCGCGGCUUAUCAGCUUGUUGGUGGGGUAGUGGCUUACCAAGGCUUUGACGGGUAGCCGGCCUGAGAGGGUGACCGGCCACAUUGGGACUGAGAUACGGACCAGACACCUACGGGAGGCAGCAGUGGGGAAUAUUGCACAAUGGGCGGAAGCCUGAUGCAGCAACGCCGCGUGCGGGAUGACGGCCUUCGGGUUGUAAACCGCUUUCGCCUGUGACGAAGCGUGAGUGACGGUAAUGAGUAAAGAAGCACCGGCUAACUACGUG
This 468-nucleotide ribosomal RNA is filed under the name uncultured bacterium. RNAcentral's name for it is "partial 16S ribosomal RNA". It matches the Rfam family "Bacterial small subunit ribosomal RNA", at positions 28 to 507 of the family's 1533-position model. The record is from RNAcentral.